This 492-nucleotide ribosomal RNA is filed under the name uncultured bacterium. Its description in RNAcentral is "partial 16S ribosomal RNA". It matches the Rfam family "Bacterial small subunit ribosomal RNA", at positions 29 to 507 of the family's 1533-position model. The record is from RNAcentral.
AGUGAACGCUGGCGGUAGGCCUAACACAUGCAAGUCGAACGGCAGCACAGUAAGAUCUUGCUCUUACUGGUGGCGAGUGGCGGACGGGUGAGGAAUACAUCGGAAUCUACUUUUUCUUGGGGGAUAACGUAGGGAAACUUACGCUAAUACCUCAUACGACCUACGGCUGAAAUCAGGGGAUCUUCACACCUUUCGCGAUUGUAUUAGCCGGUGUCGCAUUAGCUAGUUGGCUGGGUAAGGGCCCACCAAGGCAACGAUACGUAGCUGGUCUGAGAGGAUGAUCGGCCACACUGGAACUGAGACACGGUCCAGACUCCUACGGGAGGCAGCAGUAGGGAAUAUUGCACAAUGGGCGAAAGCCUGACCCAGCAAUGCCGCGUGAGUGAAGAAGGCCUUCGGGUUGUAAAGCCCUGUUGUUAGGAAAGAACAGAAGUGGGUUAAAAUCCGCAUGUUCUGACGGUACCUAAAGAAAAAGCAACGGCUAACUUCGUG